AACGCACAUUGCGCCCCUUGGUAUUCCGAGGGGCAUGCCUGUUCGAGCGUCAUUUCACCAAUCAAGCCCCGCUUGGUAUUGGGCGUAGGCCCGCGCCCCCCCGGGGAGCGGGCCCGCCCCAAAGGCAUCGGCGAGGACGACGACCCCCGGCGUGUUAGAAUCUUUCACGAGAGACGCCAGGAGCACCGUCGGACUCCGCCGCGAGAUGACGGGGGCACUUGUGCCCCCCGACCACACAAGGUUGACCUCGGAUCAGGUAGGAAUACCCGCUGAACUUAA
This 279-nucleotide unclassified non-coding RNA is filed under the name uncultured fungus. RNAcentral's name for it is "partial contains 5.8S ribosomal RNA, internal transcribed spacer 2, and large subunit ribosomal RNA". The stretch from base 1 to 52 matches the Rfam family "5.8S ribosomal RNA", at positions 103 to 154 of the family's 154-position model. The record is from RNAcentral. Lineage: Eukaryota; Fungi.